GAUGAACGCUGGCGGCGUGCUUAACACAUGCAAGUCGAACGGAAAGGCCCUGCUUUUGUGGGGUGCUCGAGUGGCGAACGGGUGAGUAACACGUGUGUAACCUGCACUUGUCUUUGGGAUAUCAUCAGGAAACUGGGGCUAAUACCCGAUAGGAGAUCCUGAUGCGUGGUGGUGGUUGGAAAGUUUCGGCUGUUGGGGCUGGACUCGCGGCUUAUCCGCUUGUUGGUGGGGUAGUGGAUUACGAAGGCUUUGACGGGUAGCCGGCCUGAGAGGGGGACCGGCGACAAUGGGACUGAGAGACGGCGCAGAAUCCUACGGGAGGCAGCAGGCGGGAAUAUUGCACAACGGGCGGAAGCCUGAUGCAACAACGCCGCGUGCGGGAUGACGGCUUUCUGGUUGUAAACCGAUUUCGCCUGUGACGAAGCGUGAGUGACGGUAAUGGGUAAAGAAGCACCGGCUAACUACGUG
Molecule: ribosomal RNA, 468 nt
Filed under: uncultured bacterium
Lineage: Bacteria
Description: partial 16S ribosomal RNA
Rfam family: Bacterial small subunit ribosomal RNA
Source: RNAcentral